RNAcentral lists this ribosomal RNA (825 nucleotides) under Pezicula sp. 4 CC-2015. RNAcentral describes it as "eukaryotic LSU rRNA". It matches the Rfam family "Eukaryotic large subunit ribosomal RNA", at positions 76 to 918 of the family's 3401-position model. The record is from RNAcentral. Lineage: Eukaryota; Fungi; Ascomycota; Leotiomycetes; Helotiales; Dermateaceae.
UACCUCAGUAACGGCGAGUGAAGCGGUAACAGCUCAAAUUUGAAAUCUGGGCCUCUCAGGCUCCGAGUUGUAAUUUGUAGAAGAUGCUUUGGGUGCGGCCCCGGUCUAAGUUCCUUGGAACAGGACGUCAUAGAGGGUGAGAAUCCCGUAUGUGAUCGGUGGCUUGCGCCCGUGUAAAGCUCUUUCGACGAGUCGGGUUGUUUGGGAAUGCAGCUCUAAAUGGGUGGUAAAUUUCAUCUAAAGCUAAAUAUUGGCCAGAGACCGAUAGCGCACAAGUAGAGUGAUCGAAAGAUGAAAAGCACUUUGGAAAGAGAGUUAAACAGUACGUGAAAUUGUUGAAAGGGAAGCGCUUGCAACCAGACUUGCGCGGGGUUGAUCAUCCGGGGUUCUCCCCGGUGCACUCGGCCUCGCUCAGGCCAGCAUCGGUUUCGGUGGUUGGAUAAAGGCCUUGGGAAUGUGACUCCUCUCGGGGAGUGUUAUAGCCCUCGGUGCAAUGCAGCCUACCGGGACCGAGGACCGCGCUUCGGCUAGGAUGCUGGCGUAAUGGUUGUAAGCGACCCGUCUUGAAACACGGACCAAGGAGUCUAACAUCUAUGCGAGUGUUUGGGUGUCAAACCCAUACGCGUAAUGAAAGUGAACGGAGGUGAGAACCCUUAAGGGUGCAUCAUCGACCGAUCCUGAUGUCUUCGGAUGGAUUUGAGUAAGAGCAUAGCUGUUGGGACCCGAAAGAUGGUGAACUAUGCCUGAAUAGGGUGAAGCCAGAGGAAACUCUGGUGGAGGCUCGCAGCGGUUCUGACGUGCAAAUCGAUCGUCAAAUUUGGGCAU